RNAcentral lists this ribosomal RNA (444 nucleotides) under Triticum aestivum (bread wheat). RNAcentral describes it as "partial small subunit ribosomal RNA". Lineage: Eukaryota; Viridiplantae; Streptophyta; Magnoliopsida; Poales; Poaceae. The record is from RNAcentral.
AUGCAGGGGUUGCAGGCGCGCAAGGAGAGGAGCCCUGCAGAGUUGGAGGGUUCGCCGGCGCUGGGAAAGUGGAACGAGUCCGGGAGGAGCUCACCGGCGCAACGUAUGCCGGGGCCAGCGGGCAACGCGAGCGGAGAGGGGCGAGGCAUGGAGGAUGCGUGGCGAAGGCAGGCAGGAGAGACAGGGGAUCGAGGACUGGGGCACUACGAGGGAGAUCGAAGCGAGGGAAAAGGGGAUCGAGCGCGGAGCGGCCAUCUCCUGGCAUAUUUCCUUCAGAACGAGUCCGGGAGGAGCUCACCGGCGCAACGCUUGCCGGGGCCAGUGGGCAACGCGAGCGGAGAGGGGCGAGGCAUGGAGGAUGCGGGGCGAAGGCAGGCAAGAGAGACAGGGGAUCGAGGACUGGGGCACUGCGAGGGAGAUCGAAGAGAGGGAAAAGGGGAUUGA